UUUAUUUUCUCACGUGUUGAGAUAAGAUCACAGCCAAAAAGAGAGAAACACGAGGAAGCUCAAAGUUGAGAGUUUGCUAGCACAAACUUCGGCUUAGGGAUUCACACAUUCUUAGUGAAGAGAUUUCGGCAUAUCACUGUGUGGAUCACCAUUAAACGUAGGACAACUGUGCUGCUGUUGUUUGAUAAGUCCUAGUUGAUGUACAAAAGUUAAAACGAAAAGCCAAGGAGGACUCCACCAAAGAAAGCAGAUUUUCAGGUAUGUCAAAAUUUCUUUUGUGAUUUUUCUAGAUUAGUUUCAAUUAAAGUGAUCCAUGGCUUUGGGGAUUAAAAUUUUAAUAAUAUUCCACUGCGUAUGAGUUGUCUUAGCAUGAUUUAAAUCCCCAACAAUGGUAUCAGAGCCUCCUUUAAUUGAUUUAAUCUAGUUUUAUGUUUAGUUGUUGAAGAUUACAAAAACUGUUUUGUUUAUAUGUCGAUUUGAUGCAAAGUUUGAAAAAUUAUUUAGAAUAAUUCUGAAUGGAUUUUUCAAAACUAAUUUAUGUUUCAAAAGUCCUUUAAAGUCUUGAUUUAUGGCUUUAAAAUCUAGAUUUAAUAAGUCCUUAAAGAUUUUAUAGAUUUGUUUUAAGAGAAUCCAAAUUUGAAAAAUCUGGCAGCAUAAUGUGAUCUGCUUUGGAAAUUUUUUUGAGGGACUUAGAGAAGGAGUUUGAACGUGAUUUUUGGAGGGUAGAAGGUCAAGAGGAUGAUCUUAACCUCUGAAAAUUUACAGCAUUUAAUUAUCUCGUUUGGGUGGUGAUCUGAUGAUGUUUCUGCACAAACAGUUUGUUGGAAUAACGGUG
RNAcentral lists this long non-coding RNA (835 nucleotides) under Theobroma cacao (cacao). RNAcentral describes it as "long non-coding RNA (TCAC_LNC001240)". Lineage: Eukaryota; Viridiplantae; Streptophyta; Magnoliopsida; Malvales; Malvaceae. The record is from RNAcentral.